CCUCGCUCCCAAUUUAGUCCCCGUCGCUCCCAGGGACUGGAGCACAGUUGGAUCAUGGUCAGGAGGUGACACGAGCAGCUCCAGUAAAAACCCGUCUCUCUCUCAGCCUGCUCCGUCCACACCUCUCCCUCUAUCCAGCCCAGCCUCUCCUCUCUUCAGCCUCAGAGCCAUGGAGUCUUCCCAUGAGGUCCUCUUCAUGGAUGGUCUCACUAUGAAGGAGAUAGCCCCAGCCUCGGCCCCAGAUGCCAACGUCUACACCAAGUUCAUGAGGAACCACUGCUGCUACGACGCCAUUCCAACCAGCUCCAAACUGGUCAUCUUCGACACCACCUUGCAGGUAAAAAAAGCUUUCUUUGCUCUGGUGGCGAACGGUGUUCGGGCGGCGCCUCUGUGGGAUAACAAGCUGCAGUGUUUUGUAGGUAUGCUGACCAUCACAGACUUUAUCAACAUUCUCCACCGGUAUUGGCAGUCUCCUCUGGUAGAGAUCUACGAACUGGAGGAGCACAAGAUAGAAGACUGUAGAGAGGAAUUACUGAAGUACUCCAACCAUACUCUGAUCAGUAUCACACCUGACUCCAGCCUUUUUGACGCCAUCUAUUCUCUGCUGAAGUAUAAGAUCCAUCGGCUGCCUGUGAUCGACCCAGAGUCUGGCAACGUCCUGCACAUCCUCACCCACAAACGCAUCCUCAAGUUCCUGCAUAUAUUUGGCACCAUGAUCCCGAAGCCUCGGUACCUCCAGAAGAGGAUUGAGGAGGUGGACAUCGGAACAUUUAAACAGAUCGCUACUGUCCGGGAGACGGACACGGUGUACGACGCCCUGGCCAUCUUCGUACAGCGGAGGGUUUCCGCUCUGCCAGUGGUCAAUGAGGAGGGGAAAAUCAAGGCCCUGUACUCCAGGUUUGAUGUGAUUAAUCUGGCCGCUCAGAAGAACUACAAUAACCUGAACAUGACCAUGCAGGAAGCGAUCAGUAGCAGGGCCUGCUGUGUGGACGGGGUGCUGAAGUGUUACCCUCACGAGACUCUGGAGACUAUCAUCGAUCGUAUUGCUAAGGCAGAGGUCCACCGUCUCGUGCUGGUGGAUAAAGAUGACGUGGUGGGGGGGAUCGUCUCGCUCUCUGACCUACUCCAGGCCCUGGUCUUGACCCCGGCAGGUAUUGAUGCCCUUUUCUCUUAGCACCUGACUGUGGGUUGGGGGGUCCAUCUAUCACUACCCACCACCUCCCAGCCCCUCCCCAGCCCCAACCCCAGAGAUUUCACGAAGAGCUCAAACUCUGACCACUGAAGACAAAUUGGGACACUAAUAAUGAAUGAAGACAGAAACUCUGUAAAUAUUUUUUAGAUUGUCCUCGGUAACUUUAAAAUGCUUUUUAAAAGGUUUAUUAUUUUCUGCAGGAUAACACCAAUACUUUCAUAUUUUUAUAUUCAUACUUGUGUUUGUUUAGUACUUGUUUGUAUACAUUUUUGUAUACAUUAAUGUACAUUUUAUAAAAUCUCUCCUAUCCCGUUCAAAACUAUUAUUUAUAUAUAUAUAUAUAUAUAUAUAU
RNA transcript from Oncorhynchus gorbuscha (pink salmon), 1544 nucleotides. It is a transcript of the gene named protein kinase, AMP-activated, gamma 3b non-catalytic subunit, with no coding region annotated. NCBI's taxonomy places the organism in Eukaryota, Metazoa, Chordata, Actinopteri, Salmoniformes, Salmonidae. The record is from RefSeq and is a predicted model, not a curated record. The transcript is spliced from 13 exons.